Molecule: ribosomal RNA, 253 nt
Filed under: uncultured bacterium
Lineage: Bacteria
Description: partial 16S ribosomal RNA
Rfam family: Bacterial small subunit ribosomal RNA
Source: RNAcentral
UACAGAGGGGGCAAGCGUUGUUCGGAAUUACUGGGCGUAAAGGGCGCGUAGGCGGCCUUCUAAGUCGAACGUGAAAUCCCCGGGCUCAACCCGGGAACUGCGUCCGAUACUGGAAGGCUUGAAUCCGGGAGAGGGAUGCGGAAUUCCAGGUGUAGCGGUGAAAUGCGUAGAUAUCUGGAGGAACACCGGUGGCGAAGGCGGCAUCCUGGACCGGCAUUGACGCUGAGACGCGAAAGCGUGGGGAGCAAACGGG